This is a long non-coding RNA of Vicia villosa (hairy vetch), 818 nucleotides long. RefSeq lists it as uncharacterized. Lineage: Eukaryota; Viridiplantae; Streptophyta; Magnoliopsida; Fabales; Fabaceae. The record is from RefSeq and is a predicted model, not a curated record. The transcript has 3 exons.
UAAUAUAUUUUUAAAUUAUGGCGACACUUAUGAAAAAUAAAAGAUUUUUAUUUUUUAUUUUUUUUAAACUUUUUUAAUAAUGGAGUGUCCAUAAUUUUAAUUAUCAAGUGUAUUAGGUAAGGUUUUGCCAAAAGUUGUAGCUAAUGAAAACUUAAUCUUUCUAAAAAUUCGCCAAAAAUGGCAUUAGCAAGGGCAUUUUGGUCGUUUGCAUGAGUUUUUGGUGGUCGAAAAAGGUAAAAAGAGGCAAGAAAACACCAAAAUUAGUCAAAAAGCACCAAAGCUCGCCACACAAUGCACAGAGCCUCGCCUAGUGAACAAAGACGAUAAAAGAAUACUUCAAAGCCAAGUAACUCCAAGACAAAGAAAUAAAAAUUGCUAAGCGAAGUAUGACGGUUCAAGAUUUAAGGGUUAAGUUACUUCAUGGGCAAGGAAGGAUUUGCUUGUUAACUGAGCUUGAAGGUGCGCUUAACGAGAAUGGCAUAUAAGAACCCUAUAGUAGCGUUUCAGUCAGUUCUGUUAAGGAUAACUUAGUUUUAAUUAGUAGUUUUCUUGGAAAGUAGUGACAGAAGUUCAAUGUAUACCAAAAACUUAAUAAGAGAGGAAAAUAGAGGAACAUUGAGGGUGAAAACGUUGUUUGAGGAAUCAACAACAAAUGUUUUUCAACGUCUUUCUUCUAUGGCUUAAUUGCAAAACUACAAUGAGUAACCGUAGUUGAUUUAUCUAAUUUUUAUGGUAAGAUGUAGUCCUCAUAAUACUCAUGUAUCGAUUGUGAUAAUGACAUUUUAUGUACUUUUUCUUAUGUUUUAUUAUUGACGAAU